Molecule: ribosomal RNA, 576 nt
Filed under: uncultured bacterium
Lineage: Bacteria
Description: bacterial SSU rRNA
Rfam family: Bacterial small subunit ribosomal RNA
Source: RNAcentral
AGUCGACGGCAGCGCGGGGCAACCUGGCGGCGAGUGGCGAACGGGUGAGUAAUAUAUCGGAACGUACCCAGAAGUGGGGGAUAACGUAGCGAAAGUUACGCUAAUACCGCAUACGAUCUACGGAUGAAAGUGGGGGACCUUCGGGCCUCAUGCUUUUGGAGCGGCCGAUAUCUGAUUAGCUAGUUGGUGAGGUAAAGGCUCACCAAGGCGACGAUCAGUAGCUGGUCUGAGAGGACGACCAGCCACACUGGAACUGAGACACGGUCCAGACUCCUACGGGAGGCAGCAGUGGGGAAUUUUGGACAAUGGGCGCAAGCCUGAUCCAGCAAUGCCGCGUGAGUGAAGAAGGCCUUCGGGUUGUAAAGCUCUUUUGUCAGGGAAGAAACGGCUGAGGUUAAUACCUUUGGCUAAUGACGGUACCUGAAGAAUAAGCACCGGCUAACUACGUGCCAGCAGCCGCGGUAAUACGUAGGGUGCAAGCGUUAAUCGGAAUUACUGGGCGUAUAGCGUGCGCAGGCGGUUUUGUAAGUCUGACGUGAAAUCUCCGGGCUUAUCCUGGGAAUUGCGUUGGAUACU